This 1488-nucleotide ribosomal RNA is filed under the name Triticum aestivum (bread wheat). RNAcentral describes it as "partial small subunit ribosomal RNA". Lineage: Eukaryota; Viridiplantae; Streptophyta; Magnoliopsida; Poales; Poaceae. The record is from RNAcentral.
AUGGGCCGCUUGAAUCAUAGGUGUUUCUCAGUGCCUAGACUGGAUAGGUCUUCUUCUAGUGCCUCCAUAGGAAAGAAUGGAUCAACUCAGUCAACUGCACAGGCUAAAAAAGCUAGAACACCAAGAACUAGGACUUCAGCCGGUCUCAGACUAGAGGAAAUUGACCGACCGCUUAUAGUUCCCAAAGGCGUGUUAUGGGAAAGGCACCCAUACACCGCUCGUGAUCCAUCAACGGUGCAAGGUGCCUUAGUGCGGCAGAUGUAUCCACCGCCAAUUGGUCCAAAAAAUGACCAGAAACCAGUAUUGUGUUGGGAGGACUACAAGUGGUCCCCUGGCCCAGAAGUAAGACCAGCAGCUUCCAAAAUUGUGGAAGAAUUUUGGUGGCGUUUCAAGUGUGACCCAUUGGAGCAAGAGAAGGCAGAUGGUGUUUUGGAGGAGAACUUUACUAGGAAAGUGAAGCAGAUGCUACAUGAGGAAAAGGCGGCAGCCAUCAAAAGAUUAAUGAAGAAGGGACAAUUGCCUACACAACUAACAGAAGUGAAUGAGAAUGGUAACCGUUGGCCAACUAAGGAAGCUUUAAUUUCUGCAAAGAAAGUUGACUUUGGUACCGAUGUUGGUUGGCGUCUACUAUGUGAGCAUUGGAGUGGUGCUGAAUUUAGAGGGCUAUCCUUAAGAAACAAGAGGAACAUACUUGCUAAUGGGGAUACAGUCUUCCAUUGCAGCGGUGCGAGAAAUGCUGUCGCCACACGUCAAUUCCUGACACUCAAAACAGGGAAAGACCCUGGAAUUUCCGGUGCUUGGCUUCACACGCACAAUUUGCAUCGAGGGACCGACAAAGAGAAGAUUUGCAGUCAAAGAACUGCCGAUCGUUGGGAGGAUUUUGAUAAGGCAAUGAAAAAUGCUCAUGGAGAAAAUUGGGAAGAGGAGCACCCAGAUUUAGAUGGACAAAUCGUCUAUGAAGCAGCAGGUAGAAUGCCACAUGGCAGGCUGGGAAUUGCUAAUGAGUUAUUUAGCAAAGCAGAGAAGGCGAAGUUUAAGUCUAAAAGGGUGAUGGCCUCACAACCGGUGCGGUCUGCUAGGGAGGACCGUCUAGAAAGAGAGAACAAACAUUUGAAGCAGGAGAACAAGCGUCUUCGAGGCAUUGAGCUUGUUGUGCAGUCAUUGGCUGAGAAAGGGGGAGUGGACUUUGAUGGCAUAAUGCAAUCAGCUACGGCUGACUUGUCUACAUCAGAUUCGGAAGGCAGAAUUCGUAGGGGACGAGGUGAUGUGCAUCAAAGCGAACCUGAAAAGGGAAUGGGAAGCAGGACUGGAGGCAGUGCCAGUCAUGGAGAUGAUGAUGAGGAUGACUACUAUGGUAGCGAGGGAGAUGAUGACUAUGGCAAGGAUGGUCUAUAUGGUGAUGAGCCAUACUAUGGUGGUGAGGGAUAUAAUGACUAUGAAGAUGAGGAAUAUAAUGAGUAUGGCAAUGAUAAUGAUGAUUGGCCAUAA